Molecule: long non-coding RNA, 8987 nt
Organism: Bicyclus anynana (squinting bush brown)
Lineage: Eukaryota; Metazoa; Arthropoda; Insecta; Lepidoptera; Nymphalidae
Exons: 2
Source: RefSeq, a predicted model, not a curated record
CAGGGAUAAUAUAUAGCCUAUAGACUUCCUCGAUAAAUGGGCUAUCUAACACUGAAAGAAUUUUUCAAAUCGGACCAGUAGUUCCUGAGAUUAGCGCGUUCAAUCAAACAAACACUUCAGCUUUAUAAUAUUAGUAUAGAUAAAAUGAAAGUGUCUGUAUAUGAUUUUAAUUCUAGUGUGUAGUGUAAUUGUAUAAUUGUCCUUGCCUUGCCCUGAAAGAUUUUGCGGAAAUAAUGAUAAAUUCAUUUAUUGAUGGCAGGGCAAAAAAAGGCUUCAAAUAUAAGCGAAAGUUUUUGUUAUUGCUAAUGAUUUUGAAACUAACAAAUCAGCAAACAUAUACACGUAAUGUAAUGAAUCAAAAAACCAGUAACCAAAAAAAUUACCUAUUUUAGAUAUCUACCUUGACAAAAAGUAAAAAACACAGCAAAAAUGUCGGUGUGCUGCUAUUGUAGGCAGAUAAAACCAAAUUAUUUUUUUUUAGAUGUCGAUUAAAAGUUCUACAUAAAUUACUAUUACUAAUACUACUACUACUACUAAUUAUACUUAUUAAUUUACCAUCAUACAACCAUAAGUGAAAUACAAGAAUUGGUAAAAAAAAGCAAGAGUUUUAUUGUCGUAGGCAGAAUGAAAAUGAAAAUUGAUAAUAAUUUAUUUUUACUAUUCUCCGCGAAAAACUUACAAAUCCAAGCGGCAACGUCUCCCAACUCUACAUACUUUUCACCCCAAAACCAGAGCAUCAUUAGGAAAUGUUGUAUCUACAGUGUUAAAAUGCGAUAUAACGCCUACUUCUAUUAUUUAAAGGACACAUGGUAACUCAGCAUUCGGUUAGGCUUUAAUUUCUAACGCCGUUGUAUCGAGGCAAAGGUGAAACCGGAGCUCGACCUCGUUCAGAUGAGUGUUGCUCAAGAUUUCGUGUUUCCUUUCCGUUGGUAAGCUGCUCUGCGAUACGCCUACCGUGCAAUGCAAUUUUAAACAGCUAGUAAACUUGGACACAAUUUAUUUUGUACUAGCGGACGCCCGCGACUUCGUCCGCGUGGAAUUCAGUUAUCACAAUCUCGCGGGAACCGUGGAUUUUUCUAGGAUGAAAAGUCGCCUAUGUGUUAACCCAGAGUAAAAUCUAUUUCCAUUCCAUAUUUCAGCCAAAUUGCUUCAGUAGUAGCGGCGUUAAAGAGUAACAAACAUGAAACAUCCAAACAAACAAACAUCCAUACAAACUUACACGUUUAUAAUAUUAGUAGGAUGUACGAGUAGUUUGCGACCAUCGCAAACACAUAACAUAUGAAAACGGUAAAGCGACGGAAUCUAAUGGUCUCGUUUUGAGAGUGUAAGUUGAAUAACCUGAUGUUGAUUUUAUUUCACAUAUUAUUUCAUCAUCAUUAUCAUCAUCAUCAUCAUCAUCAUCAUCAUCAUCAUCAUCAUCAUCAUCAUCAUCAUCAUCAUCAUCAUCAUCAUCAUCAUCUUAUUUUAACGACCUACUACAGAGCCAGGCCUCCUCCUUAUUGGAGAGGGGAUGUUCGUCCAGUGGUUAGCCUAGGAGUAUAUAAUUACAUAGUUACUAUGAGUUAAAUAGUCAUUGCGUUUAUAAAAACUAGCCUACCCCCCGCGGUUUCACCCGCAUAGUUCCCGUUCUCCUGAUGAUACGGGGAUAAAAUACACUCGAAAAUAACGUGGUAAAAAAAUAAUUUUCAGAAUCCAAAGAUUACCCCCACAACACUACAAACUUUACCUCUAUGUAAAAUUAGUAUCUACCCAGUACCUAUCUUAUGACAACAGCUAUCAGCCCAAAUAAUCUAGUUUCUACUGUAUGUUGCUAAAAUAUGGUUUGUUCAUUAAAUGUAUUUUUUUUUCCUAUGCUUAAAAUGCAAUAACAUACGAGUGUGUGUAGGUAUAUUGACACUUACCAACUUAUGUACAUAGUAAUUGUUAUCUUUGUUAUCAGCACGAAUAAUAGUUCAGGUGAUAACUUUAUCGUUAAACAUGAGUGCCCUCAAUGUAUGUAUUAUAUGUAUGUAGAUCACAACAGAAAAUGAUAAAAGUUAACGCUUAUGUAGAUACAUUUAUGUGCAUCUGUAUAUACUCAAUACAGGUAGAGUUGCCAGGUGGCAAAACCUAAUUGCCGGACAGAUUAGCUAGGUUGGCCGGACAUUUGAGAUAAAAGACCGGACCGGACACCCUAUAGUUGUAAGGAUUUAGUGUAUCAGUAUUAAUACGACAAAAAGUUGUACGUAAUUAUUGACAUAAAUCUUGUUAAAUUUUAAUGAAAUGUAGAUAAAACCGAAUGCCAAAUAAAUCUAUACUAAUAUUAUAAAGAGGUAAAGUUUGUAAGUUUGUCACAUUUUUUAAAUGGGGUAAUCUUCGGAACUACUGGUCCGAUUUUAAAAAUUCUUUCACCAGUAGAAUGCUUCAUUAUCGGGGAGUGCUAUAGGCUAUAUUUUAUAUUGGUAUCAUAUAUAUUAUAUCACAGUUUUUGUCAUACAGGUCGGACUGAAAAUCCUCUUAAAAAGACUUAUUCGCAUGCGCUGCCUUAACUAUUGUGUAAAAUUGAAAUUAAUGUAUGGAGACUUUAUGUAUCUUUAAAAGUUCUACAAAAAAGUCCGCGACACCAUAUAUCUAUCUUCUAUAUAUUAGCAGAUAUAGUACCUUUUGUGUUUUAAAAAUUAUUAAUUUUAUAUACUUAGGUUUACGUCAUUAUUUAUACAACUAAACUGUAAUCCUUAUUAAAAUAAAUUAUUUAAUAAUCACAAGGAUAUUAUGGAGAUAAGAUUUGCCCUUUACAGUAUGUUAAUUACUUAAAUAGUUUCGGAGAUAAUACAAAAUUUCUAAAAGACGCAGAAAUUUCGCUAUAUGACGCCCGGCGCUUUCAUUUACGUAGUUUCCGUUCGCGUGUGAAUAUGGGGAUCAAACAUAGCCUAUGACACUCGCAAAUAACGUAGCUUUCUAUUGGUAAAACAAUUUUUCAAAUCGGUCCAGUAGAUCCAGAGAUUACCUCCUACAACCACACGAACUUUACCUCUUUAUAUUAUUAGCAUAGAAGUCUCUAUUUCUCUUGGUCAUACCACCACUCUCGAAGGACUGGACCGAUUUUGCUAGGGGUAGGAGUAAGAUAGAGAAGUUACAGGGUAGGGUAGGGUACGGGUAGGGAAGCGUAGGGGUAGGGUAGGUUUAGGGCCGGGUUUAGGGUAGUGGUAGGGUAGGGGUAGAGGUAGGGGUAGGGUAGUGGUAGGGUAGAGGUACGGGUAGGAUAGGGAAGUGGUAGGGUAAGGGUAGGAUAGGGGUGAGAUAGGGGUACGGGUGGGAUAGGGGUAGGAAAGGGAUAGGGUACGGGGAGGGUAGGGGUAGGAUGGGUGUAGGGUGUAGGUAAGGUAGGGGUAGGUUUGGGGUAGGGUAGGCUUGGGGUAGUGGUAGGAUAGGGUAGGGGUAGUAGUAAAGUUGACAUCGAAAUUUACGCGGACGAAGUCGCGGGCGUCCGCUAGUCUACGUAUAAUCAGUCAAAUAAAGUCUUCACUCGAAAUCAAAUUCUAAAUAAAUAUUUACUUAUCAACAUUUUUGUGUUUGCUAAAUGUAAAAUACCUAAUAAAAGCCGGAUGCCGUUUAUUUUGGCCGGAUACGUAGUUGCAAAGCCUAACUAUGUCCGGCUUUAUCCGGAUGCCUAGUGACCCUAAAUAUAGGGCCUGUAGAGCCUUUCUUCAUUAUUGUAUUAAACAUUAAUUUAUCUAAAUUAGUUACACAUGUGUCUGCACAUGCUCUCAAUACAGCUAGGGUAGCUUCGGGAUUUUAUGAAAGCUGGAAGUUUGUAUGCUCCUACCAUAGAAGAAUGUCUUUUUGGAAUUAGACCAUGAUGGCUUGGGAGGUAGCAGGUUUAAAAGUCCAGUCUCUCAGUCAUUCGAGUAUUAACCACAUUUUCUUUACAAUAUCGCGAAAAAAAACCUUAAAAAGUACACUAUAUUAUACUCAUGACAAUUGAACGUCACACCUUUAUUACCACUAUUUUAAACCACAAAGAAUAUAAUAUAAACUCUAUAAUUGCCUACCGUAAAUAUCUAUAGUAAGUAAGAGCAAACUGACAAACUUACACUUUCAAACUGUCUGACCACCACAUUUUCUCAGACCAUAAUAAAAUAGAAGAAACUGAGUGUAUGUAAAAACUUAAAAUAUUUAAAAUAUUGUGUCCUCUAAACUCUCAAAGUAGCGGGGUUUGCUAGUUUAUUUAUAUUUAUUGUUAUGUGAUCUUUACUACCUUGGAUCGCCCAUUCCGUGUACAUCUUGGAAACCUUCCAAACGUUUUACUUUAAGUGAUUCUACUGUUCCAUAGUGGAACUUAACGGAUCACAGAAUUGCUUGAUGUGUAUUGGAUGGAAGACCAAUGGUUAAUAACAUAGCAAAGCAUAUACGCACAGACCAAGUUUUCUAAGUGUAACAUUUAGUUGUUUUUACUUGUAAAGAAGGGCGUCCACAGAUCGGCAUCGUACUGUUCGUAUCGAGACGAAUAUUUUAGCAUUCCAUGGAUUCACCGUGCAGGUGCCGGGUCCAUCGCGUGGUAGAGAGAAAAACACCAAGCAAAGUCCAGGACUUGUGACUACUGGAUGUAGGGUUAAGGAAUUCCUUGACGAUCGAUCAACACUCCCCUUCUCUGCUCGUGUUGUUCUCCCUACCUAUCCAAAUUUGGUAAGAUCCUAUUAGAGCAGCUUUGGAUACUCGUUCUAAUAUAGAAUUAGCUGCACUUCUAGAUAUGCCAAGGUCUUUAAGCAAGUAAUAGAGAGUUUGCUGGUAAUCCUCUCGCAUUUACUUCUACGGCGUACAGACUAACUACGUAGCCAUUUUUAGUUAGUUCAUUUGUUAGGUCAUAAUAUUUAUUCACUUUUAAACUGUGGUCCUUCGGAAUGUUAGUCUCUCACGGCACAGUAAGCUCUACAAGUACUAUUCGCUUUGUUUGUUUGAACAAAAGGAAAAUGUCUGGUCUAGAUCUCGAAAUAGCGACAUCCGCAGGGAUUUAAUUUUUUGCAAUAACUCAAAAGGUACUAGGAUUUUGCGUUCCUAUACAUAGUAUAGCGUAGUUCAGAUACGUAUUAGGAGAAACAGUUUAACUCCGUUUAACAGUUUAAAUAUAGAGGUUAAUAUUUUCAUAAACCUAUGGUUAAGGUUUUAAACUCAAAUAAUAUAAUCAGAAGCAAUAUUUUAAAAUAAUCCUAUGUUCACAGCAGUGCUCUUUCCCAAAAUUUCCACUGAUUUGCAUCGUUAGUUGCAUUAAUUGCAUCAUCAACAAGCACUUAAAUUCAAUAAACAAUUAACUCCGAAUAAGUAUAUAAUCAUUUCAGUUGUAAUAUUAUGACUUUGUGGCAUUUAUUUUCUGAAAAUUGUGUUAAACAUUUAUUGCUGAUCCGAAAAACAGGAAAACGUGUUACUGCACUUUGUAGACAACAACUUAUAUAAAAUGCAUAUUAUUAUUAAUGUAUUAUUAGUCAUAUUAUGGUUAUUGUAUAAAAUUAAUCUUAGUUUGUAUUGUCGUUUCUACACUAUAUACUUAUUAGCAACAAUUCUCUGACAUGUUUAAUUCAACUAUUUUCCGUAUCUAUACUAAUAUUAUAAAGCUGAAGAGUUUGUUUGUUUGUUUGAUUGAACGCGCUAAUCUCAGGAACUACUGGUCCGAUUUGAAAGAUUCUUUUAGUGUUAGAUAGCCCAUUUAUCGACGUAGGCUAUAGGCUAUAUAUUAUCCCCAAAUUCCUACGGGAACAGGAACCACGCCGGUGAAACCGCGCGGCGUCAGCUAGUUAACAUUAUAAAUGCUAAAGUUGUUCUGUCUGUAUAUCUGUUUGUUACCUUUUCACGACUGAUAUAGAUUUAAAUUUGGUAUAAUUAAAGACUCUUUGAGCAGAACACACGCAAGUUGCUUUUUAUCUCAAAAAUAAACAUAAAACUUGAGAGUUUGUAUAAAAAGUCCUUAAUUUUUAUAAAUAUAAGUUAACCAAAAUUUUAUCUCAAGUUGUUAUAGUAAAUAAAUAUAAAUAAACCAUUUUCCAAGUUACAUUUACACACAUAUGCUAUAGGGUUAAAAAGGGAUGAGGAAUGGUUAGGUACACGGAUUUUCUUGCGAACAAAGUCGCGGGCACCGCUAGUACUAUAAGGAGCGAUUAAAAGUCGAGUUUGUGUACUUUAAAAUUAAAUAACUUAAAAUCAAAAUGACUAUGAAACAAUCAAUUAAUAUGAAUAACACUCACGAUAGUUUAAAUUCUAAAAAUCAAAAUGACGCCAUAAAAAACUUCAAUAAAUGUUUUUUUUUUCAUUAGGACCUACGCCCCUUACUCAUUUGUUAUGAAUAUGACUUGGCUAUGUAUUUUCUGAGUCGUAACUAAGAUGACUCGUAAUCGUAGCCAGACGUAGGAUCGUUUAUUUUACACAGAAUAUAUAUUUGUACAAGUUGUUGAUAUUCGAUUUCGUACCUUAAUGCUAUGAAUUAGAGUUGAUUGUUCACAGUUGAGUUGGUUGUGCGUUAGUGUGCUGACUUCUCAAUGAGAAUGUUUUAGGGUUGCCGCGGUGUCAGUUUUCUAAUUCUGUAAUAUGGAUAAAAAUGUUAUUUCUGCUUGAAUCAUUGAAAUCUCAUACAAAUUUUUAACCGACUUCCAAAAAGGAAGAGGUUCUACGUUCGACUAUAUGUAUGUUUUUCUACGUUAUUAUUCUACUAAAGUGAGAAAACUGUACAUUUUUUUAAUACGUAUAUCAUUACGAUUACUUAUUAAAAAACGAGAUAUUGCAUUUCUACGGUCUUGCCUGUUCUUGUUAAUAUUGAUCAAAAAUAUUUUUUUCUAAAUACUCAAUACUUUAAACACAAAAUAACUAUAUUUUAUAAGUUUUGUAUAUCUUAAAGGUCGAAACCAAGGUAGGUAGGUCUGUAGGCAUACAAGAUUUAGGCCGAAUUUAAACCUUAUUGCACUGGAACAAGGUCGAAUAGAUCUAGACGUAUUUGUUAGAUCAAUAGCGAGCUCACGCGUACUGAUCAUUCAAUGAGUGAGUUCCCAGCAGGGUUGUCGAUGUUCGCCUAGUCUUCCUUCGUGGAAAACCCUUAGUAUAGAUUUUCAUGCAAAAUUUCCCUACCUCAUUACCAAAGGGGGAGCCUUUCUAACAGUAUGCCUCCUCUGUAAUAAUACCUACUUAAAUAUUUUUAUAGUCAGACAGGUAUUUUACAAAGAUAAACGCGUUUAAGGCCUAAACCACUAAACCUAUUUUCAAAAUUCUUACACCAAUGUAAAGCUACAGUAUUGUCGAGUAGAAAGGGAACUACGCGGUUGAAUACGCGGGAGCUUCCACUACUAUUACUAUUUAACAACGCGUUAUGUUGUAUUGCUUCCUCGUACAUACGAAGAAAAACACCUACUAUGAGGAUAUAAUAUAGUGGAAAAUAGUCUUUUUUUUUUUAAAUAUAUUUGUCACAUUUUAGUCUUGUUUUAAACUAAAUCAGGACUAAAAUGUGACAAAUAUUCUUAAAAAAAAGACUAUAUUAUAUUAUGAUAGUCUUUUAAAACCAUUUUAUAAGAACUCUCUUCUUUUUGAUAUGUCUCGUUCAUGAAUUGCUUUAUUUCCGGCCUCGAAGUAGGGUAAAACGCUACAAUACGCCCCAGUUGACAAUAAGCCCCACUGCGCCUACACACGCACAAAUACAGAUAUCAGACAAGCAGUGACACGAACGGUGGCGCGCCAGUCGCCCGAAAACAUGGCUGCUGGUUAGACGUGAUAUUUGCGAGUAAUUAGGAAAAAAAUCUAAAUCAUUUGUAAAGUGCUUCGGAACAUAUUGCGAUGCCGCGGAAUUUUCAAAGAAAUAGUAUGUAUAAAGUACGCAGCGAGGAGAUGAUAGUCAAUGAAGCCUCUAGAGUGUACAAAAUCAUCAAGAACACUUAAAAGACAUCUGUUAACAGGAGAGCUGAAAGUUCCAUUGGAGAGACCGUUUGUUUCUUCAGAACAGCACGAGAAAAAACUGGUAGUUCAUAUCAAAAAACUUUAAAAAGUUGGCUUUGCACCUAAUCGCAAGGAUAGGAAACUAAUAGGCAAAGCUUGGGGAAAGGCUGCUCGUAUGUCCAACGAUAUCGCUGCUUUAAAGUCCUGUGGAAUCUACCCGUAUGAACCGACCGCUAUACCAGAGAAGAUAUAUGCACAUCAAAUACUGUAUUUGAAAAAAAUGUCCUGAUAUAUCAUCGACAUCAGGAUCUGCAGGACAAACUCCAACGAAAUUGUCGACUAAAAUUCACCCCAUACCUGAGUUACCAGCAAUGAUGUUAAAGAAAAAACAAAAGGCUUGUGUUGGCGUCUCAAGAAAAUAUCCAGAAAAAAAAGCGACAGAAAAAAAUAUCAAGGAUGCAGAAUAUGACUAUGCACAAAAUAAAGAAUAUGACUAUACUCAUCAUCAUCAGAAAGCGAUAAUAAUGAACAAAAUUGUAGGAGUUCUUCUAAUAUAGAUAUUUUUGAUGAUGAACAGAAUAGGUGCGUUGAGUGCACAGAUUAUUGUACGACUUCUAAAGAGGAUUAGAUGAGAUAUUUAUCAUGUACAUCUUGGAUGCAUGAAUUUUGAACAAUGUACCAUGAAUCCUUUAUGCAAAGUUUGUGGUAGAAAAGCGAAACAGGAGGCUGUGAUAUGAACAAGUUUAAGAACCCAAAUAAAUAAGUAGAUACUAUGCUACUUAAAUAUAGUAUAUAAAAUUAUUAUAGUGAUUAAGAAUUUGAUCUCAAUGUAACUUAAGACUAUAAUUGUUAAUUUUCAGUUAUUUGGAUUAGGUAUAGUUUAAAAAAUUGUUUAUUUUUUGCAUAUAAUUACAGUGGGGCAUUUUGUACUAGACGUGAGGCAUAUUAUCAACUCAUAGCACUACAAAACGCCCUAUCUAAGGUUUAAAAAAAAUAGUAUUUUUAGCUAGUGUAUAAGGAUUCUUUACCAAACUAAAGUGCCAUUUUGUAGUUUAAAAACUGUUUGUUACAUAUCUUACAAAAUACACGAUUACAAUUUA